UCGAGGAUCUUCGGCAAUGGGCGCAAGCCUGACCGAGCGACGCCGCGUGUGCGAUGAAGGCCUUCGGGUUGUAAAGCACUGUCGAGGGGGAGGAAAGCCGCAAGGCCUGACCUAUCCCUGGAGGAAGCACGGGCUAAGUUCGUGCCAGCAGCCGCGGUAAGACGAACCGUGCAAACGUUGUUCGGAAUCACUGGGCUUAAAGGGCGCGUAGGCGGGUGGUCAAGUCAGGGGUGAAAUCUUUCAGCUCAACUGGAAAACAGCUUCUGAUACUGGCCGUCUUGAGGGGGGUAGGGGCAUGUGGAACUUCCGGUGGAGCGGUGAAAUGCGUAGAUAUCGGAAGGAACGCCGGUGGCGAAAGCGACGUGCUGGACCCUUUCUGACGCUGAGGCGCGAAAGCCAGGGGAGCAAACGGGAUUAGAUACCCCCGUAGUCC
RNAcentral lists this ribosomal RNA (433 nucleotides) under uncultured bacterium. RNAcentral's name for it is "bacterial SSU rRNA". It matches the Rfam family "Bacterial small subunit ribosomal RNA", at positions 355 to 796 of the family's 1533-position model. The record is from RNAcentral.